RNAcentral lists this ribosomal RNA (254 nucleotides) under uncultured bacterium. RNAcentral's name for it is "partial 16S ribosomal RNA". It matches the Rfam family "Bacterial small subunit ribosomal RNA", at positions 524 to 777 of the family's 1533-position model. The record is from RNAcentral.
UACAGAGGUCCCAAGCGUUGUUCGGAUUCACUGGGCGUAAAGGGUGCGUAGGUGGUGAGGUAAGUCGGAUGUGAAAUCUCCGAGCUCAACUCGGAAAUGGCAUUGGAAACUACCUUGCUUGAGGGUUGGAGGGGGGACUGGAAUACUUGGUGUAGCAGUGAAAUGCGUAGAUAUCAAGUGGAACACCAGUGGCGAAGGCGAGUCCCUGGACAACUCCUGACGCUGAGGCACGAAGGUCAGGGGAGCAAACGGGG